CCUACGGGUGGCAGCAGUGGGGAAUAUUGCACAAUGGGGGAAACCCUGAUGCAGCGACGCCGCGUGAGGGAAGAAGUAUUUCGGGAUGUAAAGCUCUAUCAGCAGGGAAGAAGCAAGACGGUACCUGGCUAAGAAGCCCCGGCUAACUACGUGCCAGCAGCCGCGGUAAUACGUAGGGGGCAAGCGUUAUCCGGAUUUACUGGGUGUAAAGGGAGCGUAGACGGUAUGGCAAGUCUGAAGUGAAAGCCCAGGGCUUAACCCUGGGACUGCUUUGGAAACUGUUAGACUAGAGUGCUGGAGAGGUAAGUGGAAUUCCUAGUGUAGCGGUGAAAUGCGUAGAUAUUAGGAGGAACACCAGUGGCGAAGGCGGCUUACUGGACAGUAACUGACGUUGAGGCUCGAAAGCGUGGGGAGCAAACAGGAUUAGAUACCCGUGUAGUC
This 441-nucleotide ribosomal RNA is filed under the name uncultured bacterium. RNAcentral's name for it is "partial 16S ribosomal RNA". It matches the Rfam family "Bacterial small subunit ribosomal RNA", at positions 338 to 795 of the family's 1533-position model. The record is from RNAcentral.